RNAcentral lists this unclassified non-coding RNA (225 nucleotides) under Hevea brasiliensis (rubber tree). The record is from RNAcentral. Lineage: Eukaryota; Viridiplantae; Streptophyta; Magnoliopsida; Malpighiales; Euphorbiaceae.
AAUUUUAAUUUCUUUCAUAAAACUUACUAACUUCAAUUUGAUUUAACAAAAGACACUAUGAUAGAAAAUUAAAUAUUUUUAGAUUAAUUUACUAACUUGUUAAGUAUUUUAUAAAUAAAAUUAUCUAACUGGUGGUUGGUAGGAAAAAAAAUGAUGAAUUUAACGGCAUUAGAGGGUAGUUGGAUGCUUUUUAUGCAUCCUAUUUUUUUUUUUAAGAAAUUAAUA